RNAcentral lists this unclassified non-coding RNA (348 nucleotides) under soil metagenome. RNAcentral describes it as "partial contains 5.8S ribosomal RNA, internal transcribed spacer 2, and large subunit ribosomal RNA". The stretch from base 1 to 120 matches the Rfam family "5.8S ribosomal RNA", at positions 35 to 154 of the family's 154-position model. The record is from RNAcentral.
GAUGAAGAACGUAGCGAAAUGCGAUAAGUAAUGUGAAUUGCAGAAUUCAGUAAAUCAUCGAAUCUUUGAACGCACAUUGCGCCCGCCAGUAUUCUGGCGGGCAUGCCUGUCUGAGCGUCAUUUCAACCCUCAUGCCCCUAGGGCGUGGUGUUGGGGAUCGGCCAAAGCCCGCGAGGGACGGCCGGCCCCUAAAUCUAGUGGCGGACCCGUCGUGGCCUCCUCUGCGAAGUAGUGAUAUUCCGCAUCGGAGAGCGACGAGCCCCUGCCGUUAAACCCCCAACUUUCCAAGGUUGACCUCAGAUCAGGUAGGAAUACCCGCUGAACUUAAGCAUAUCAAUAAGCGGAGGA